AAACAAGUUUAUUUAGAUAGAGGGGACAUAAUUGUUUAAUUGAUUGUUCAUCAAAGUGUGCUCGGUUAGUCUCUCGCAAAUAGACAAUGUCACAAGAUGCUUCAGAAAUUUUAUUUCUAAUGGAGUUCCAUUUCUUAUAAUAGUUGCUGCCUGUCACAUUCCAUGAGAGGACUUUCCAGGACCGAUAUUGUCUUAUAUUAUUCAUUGAUGAAGAUAAUGAGCAGGUAAACUGAGGCAGUCAAUAUGUAACGCAUCCAUAAGAUGUUUGAUGAAAAAUA
This 278-nucleotide long non-coding RNA is filed under the name Setaria viridis. RNAcentral describes it as "long non-coding RNA (SVIR_LNC000337)". The record is from RNAcentral. Lineage: Eukaryota; Viridiplantae; Streptophyta; Magnoliopsida; Poales; Poaceae.